AUACGGAGGGGGCAAGCGUUGUUCGGAAUUACUGGGCGUAAAGCGCGCGUAGGCGGGCUGGUUAGUUGGGGGUGAAAUCCCAGGGCUUAACCCUGGAACUGCCUUCAAUACUGCCAGUCUAGAGUUCGAGAGAGGUGAGUGGAAUUCCUAGUGUAGAGGGGAAAUUCGUAGAUAUUAGGAAGAACACCAGUGGCGAAGGCGGCUCACUGGCUCGAUACUGACGCUGAGGUGCGAAAGCGUGGGGAGCAAACAGGAUUAGAAACCCGUGUAGUCC
RNAcentral lists this ribosomal RNA (274 nucleotides) under uncultured bacterium. RNAcentral describes it as "partial 16S ribosomal RNA". It matches the Rfam family "Bacterial small subunit ribosomal RNA", at positions 523 to 796 of the family's 1533-position model. The record is from RNAcentral.